GACGAACGCUGGCGGCGUGCUUAACACAUGCAAGUCGAACGGAAAGGCCCUGCUUUUGUGGGGUGCUCGAGUGGCGAACGGGUGAGUAACACGUGAGUAACCUGCCCUUGUCUUUGGGAUAACUUCAGGAAACUGGGGCUAAUACCGGAUAGGAGCUCCUGCUGCAUGGUGGGGGUUGGAAAGUUUCGGCGGUUGGGGAUAGACUCGCGGCUUAUCAGCUUGUUGGUGAGGUAGUGGCGUACCAAGGUUUUGACGGGUAGGCGGCCUUAGAGCGUGACCGGCCACCUUGGGACUGCGGUAGGGCCCAGACUGCUACGGGAGGCAACAGUCGGAAAUAUUACACAAUGGGCGGACGCCUGAUGCAGCAACGCCGCGAUCGGGAUGACGGCCUUCGGGUUGUGAACCGCUUUCGCCUGUGACAAAGCGGGAGUGACGGUAAUGGGUAAAGAAGCACCGGCUAACUACGUG
Molecule: ribosomal RNA, 468 nt
Filed under: uncultured bacterium
Lineage: Bacteria
Description: partial 16S ribosomal RNA
Rfam family: Bacterial small subunit ribosomal RNA
Source: RNAcentral